RNAcentral lists this long non-coding RNA (1198 nucleotides) under Phasianus colchicus (ring-necked pheasant). Its description in RNAcentral is "lncRNA (ENSPCLG00000002050.1)". The record is from RNAcentral. Lineage: Eukaryota; Metazoa; Chordata; Aves; Galliformes; Phasianidae.
UCAUGCUCAGUGUGCUAUCCAAACGUUAUCUUAUUUUCUAACAUUUGGACACUAAAAAAUAGGAAACAUUUUACAAGUCAAAUAUUAUUUUCAUAUUUCAUAGCAAACACAUGGGAACAGUGGGAGAAAAAUCCAGGCUGCACAGCAAAUUGAAGUGCCACGAUUCAAAGACUCAACUCCAAGACUGGAACCGUUGGGUAAAGAUGUCAAACUAAUUCCCAAGAGCCGGGCUGGAAGAGGAUAGAUCACACUGGAAGAGGAUAGAUCACACUGGAACACUGCCACUGGGACAAGAACACGUGAGAUGUGUGUGGACAACCCCUCAAAAGAGAACUGGUCUUCCAUUAGCACAGCAUGGUCAUGUUGCUGGACCUUGUCUGAAUUUUGACUCUGACUCUUCAUCUGGCUCCACGUGCAAGAAAGCUGGACUUCUAUUCUGAAUGCAACUAACUUCCAAGCAAGCUCUGGGAGAAACAACCACAUGAAUUAUGUUAGCUGCCUAACUUGGGUGAUCAAAUCAGCUUUAGGCUCACUCUAGAAAGAAAGAGGACAUUUCUUCCAGCAGGUGAUUUGAAGCAUGGCCUGAAUCAGUUCCUCUCACCACAACCCAUGCAGGGAGCUCACCCUCCAAGUGUGAUCAUCCACCUUCGAUGACUCAGGUACUGCGAGUUUCUCCCCUACCAGGGCAGGCAGGCAGUGAUUCAUCUGCACAGCUCUGAACAGAUCAGCUGAGGACUUCAAGAUGAAAAUUUCCAUGUGCGGGGCCCAGCUGAUUUGCUUGCAAUGACCACUGUGCUUAUAAAAACCGACAAAAACAGAAUCCCUUGUUGCUUUUUUGAGAGCCCAGCGAAAGCUAUAAGUCUCCACCCUGAAGACACGUGAAACACCAGCUGAGUUCCCCAGAGAGAGAGAAAAAUGGUGGGACCAUGUCCAGGCUGAAGCACAUUUUGGGUUUUUUUCCAUUCUCAGCUGAGUGGCAACACAUUUGAAAAAGUAGCUUGAACAAGUCGUUAUUCUGGGAUCCAGCAAGAACCACACACAUACCUCAUUUUAGUUCCACUCCCAAAGCAAGCUCUUGUAUUAUGAAAUCUAACCACAAUUACGUUUUCAUAAAUACUGCAGUGUCAAUAUCCCAGUGAGUCCCGAGUCCGAGUUAAAAGAAAAAAUAAAAAGGAAUAUUUACAACUAGUCUUACUCA